GAUUAUGGCUCAGGAUGAACGCUAGCGGCAGGCUUAACACAUGCAAGUCGAGGGGCAGCGGGAUGUAGCAAUACAUUGCCGGCGACCGGCGGAUGGGUGCGUAACGCGUAUGCAACCUACCUAUACAGGGGAAUAACCUUUCGAAAGGGAGACUAACACCCCAUGGUAUUGAUUUAAGGCAUCUUAGAUUAAUUAAAUAUUUAUAGGUAUAAGAUGGGCAUGCGUAUGAUUAGCUAGUUGGUAAGGUAACGGCUUACCAAGGCGACGAUCAUUAGGGGUUCUGAGAGGAAGGUCCCCCACACUGGUACUGAGACACGGACCAGACUCCUACGGGAGGCAGCAGUGAGGAAUAUUGGUCAAUGGGCGCAAGCCUGAACCAGCCAUGCCGCGUGCAAGGAAGACGGCCUUAUGGGUUGUAAACUGCUUUUACAUAAGACUAACCGUAUAUUUGCGAAUGUACCUGAAUGUAUUAUGAGAAUAAGGAUCGGCUAACUCCGUGCCAGCCGCGGC
Molecule: ribosomal RNA, 510 nt
Filed under: uncultured bacterium
Lineage: Bacteria
Description: bacterial SSU rRNA
Rfam family: Bacterial small subunit ribosomal RNA
Source: RNAcentral